UGCCUACGGGACGCAGCAGUGGGGAAUAUUGCACAAUGGGGGGAACCCUGAUGCAGCGACGCCGCGUGAAGGAAGAAGUAUUUCGGUAUGUAAACUUCUAUCAGCAGGGAAGAAAAUGACGGUACCUGACUAAGAAGCCCCGGCUAACUACGUGCCAGCAGCCGCGGUAAUACGUAGGGGGCAAGCGUUAUCCGGAUUUACUGGGUGUAAAGGGCGUGUAGGCGGGAAAGCAAGUCAGAUGUGAAAACCACGGGCUCAACCUGUGGCCUGCAUUUGAAACUGUUUUUCUUGAGUACUGGGGAGGG
Molecule: ribosomal RNA, 305 nt
Filed under: uncultured bacterium
Lineage: Bacteria
Description: bacterial SSU rRNA
Rfam family: Bacterial small subunit ribosomal RNA
Source: RNAcentral